RNAcentral lists this ribosomal RNA (433 nucleotides) under uncultured bacterium. RNAcentral's name for it is "partial 16S ribosomal RNA". It matches the Rfam family "Bacterial small subunit ribosomal RNA", at positions 29 to 507 of the family's 1533-position model. The record is from RNAcentral.
AACGAACGCUGGCGGCAUGCCUAACACAUGCAAGUCGAACGAGACCUUCGGGUCUAGUGGCGCACGGGUGCGUAACGCGUGGGAAGCUGCCCUUAGGUUCGGAAUAACUCCCCGAAAGGGGUGCUAAUACCGGAUAAUGUCUUCGGACCAAAGAUUUAUCGCUUUUGGAUGGGCCCGCGUUGGAUUAGCUAGUUGGUAGGGUAAAAGCCUACCAAGGCGACGAUCCAUAGCUGGUCUGAGAGGAUGAUCAGCCACACUGGGACUGAGACACGGCCCAGACUCCUACGCGAGGCAGCAGUGGGGAAUAUUGGACAAUGGGCGAAAGCCUGAUCCAGCAAUGCCGCGUGAGUGAUGAAGGCCUUAGGGUUGUAAAGCUCUUUUACCCGGGAUGAUAAUGACAGUACCGGGAGAAUAAGCUCCGGCUAACUCCGUG